This 253-nucleotide ribosomal RNA is filed under the name uncultured bacterium. RNAcentral's name for it is "partial 16S ribosomal RNA". It matches the Rfam family "Bacterial small subunit ribosomal RNA", at positions 524 to 776 of the family's 1533-position model. The record is from RNAcentral.
GACGGAGGGUGCAAGCGUUGUUCGGAAUUACUGGGCGUAAAGGGCGCGUAGGCGGUCUGUUAAGUUCGGUGUGAAAGCCCCCGGCUCACCUGGGGAACUGCGCCGGAAACCGACAGACUCGAGUACCGGAGAGGAGGGUGGAAUUCCUGGUGUAGCGGUGAAAUGCGUAGAUAUCAGGAGGAACACCGGUGGCGAAGGCGGCCCUCUGGACGGAUACUGACGCUGAGGCGCGAAAGCCAGGAGAGCAAACGGG